UGGUGGCCUUUUGGAUUUCCUGGGCGCUGCUGAGCAGUCUGAGCACUGAGAGCUCUGCGGGUCUCUGGGCAGGACGAGGCAAAUCAACACGGAGAGAGCAACCUGGUCAAUGAGAAGCACGUCAAUGGAGAUCCCCUCGUGAAUCAACGCUUGGCCUGGAACAAUCAGUUAAGUCUUUUGAUUUCUCGAAUUUGGUUUUCUCACCGAGCUCGGAAGCACCAAAGUGCGCGAUACUCGACGCUGCUUCCGUGCUGCUGGUCUGGAUUCACUGAGACGGCAUUAGAGACGGCAGAAAGAAUUUCAUUCACGUC
Selaginella moellendorffii is the source of this 311-nucleotide long non-coding RNA. RefSeq lists it as uncharacterized. NCBI's taxonomy places the organism in Eukaryota, Viridiplantae, Streptophyta, Lycopodiopsida, Selaginellales, Selaginellaceae. The record is from RefSeq and is a predicted model, not a curated record. The transcript is spliced from 2 exons.